Molecule: long non-coding RNA, 242 nt
Filed under: Ananas comosus (pineapple)
Lineage: Eukaryota; Viridiplantae; Streptophyta; Magnoliopsida; Poales; Bromeliaceae
Description: long non-coding RNA (ACOM_LNC040312)
Source: RNAcentral
AAGAGUCUGGCUAUUAUGCUAUUAAUAGCACGAAACACUUGGUGCUACCAAGUUUUCCGCCUUUAGAUCUAACCUUUUGAUCAUUUUCUCCCGUUAGAUCAUACUAUUCAACUAACCACCCACUCAACCCUAGGGGGCCCACAUCAUCCUAACCACACAUCUCUUAAUCCAAUAGCCACUUGGUAGCACCAAUGACUUGGUGCUAUUAAUAGUAUAUUAGCCUAGUUCUAUUUUAUAAUAUA